CCUACGGGAGGCAGCAGUGGGGAAUAUUGGACAAUGGGGGGAACCCUGAUCCAGCCAUGCCGCGUGUGUGAAGAAGGCCCUCGGGUUGUAAAGCACUUUCAGUGAGGAAGAACGCCUGGUGGUUAUUACCCAUCAGGAAAGACAUCACUCACAGAAGAAGCACCGGCUAACUCCGUGCCAGCAGCCGCGGUAAUACGGAGGGUGCGAGCGUUAAUCGGAAUUACUGGGCGUAAAGCGCGCGUAGGUGGCUUGAUAAGCCGGUUGUGAAAGCCCCGGGCUCAACCUGGGAACGGCAUCCGGAACUGUCAAGCUAGAGUGCAGGAGAGGAAGGUAGAAUUCCCGGUGUAGCGGUGAAAUGCGUAGAGAUCGGGAGGAAUACCAGUGGCGAAGGCGGCCUUCUGGACUGACACUGACACUGAGGUGCGAAAGCGUGGGUAGCAAACAGGAUUAGAUACCCUGGUAGUC
RNAcentral lists this ribosomal RNA (465 nucleotides) under Vreelandella stevensii. Its description in RNAcentral is "partial 16S ribosomal RNA". It matches the Rfam family "Bacterial small subunit ribosomal RNA", at positions 338 to 795 of the family's 1533-position model. Lineage: Bacteria; Pseudomonadati; Pseudomonadota; Gammaproteobacteria; Oceanospirillales; Halomonadaceae. The record is from RNAcentral.